Molecule: ribosomal RNA, 1356 nt
Filed under: uncultured marine eukaryote
Lineage: Eukaryota
Description: SSU rRNA
Rfam family: Eukaryotic small subunit ribosomal RNA
Source: RNAcentral
CACUUCUAAGGAAGGCAGCAGGCGCGCAAAUUACCCAAUCCUGACUCAGGGAGGUAGUGACAAGAAAUAACAAUAAACCGGCUUAUGCCGGUUUAAUUGGAAUGAGUACAAUUUAAACAUCUUAACGAGGAACAAUUGGAGGGCAAGUCUGGUGCCAGCAGCCGCGGUAAUUCCAGCUCCAAUAGCGUAUACUAAAGUUGUUGCAGUUAAAAAGCUCGUAGUUGGAUUUCUGUGGGGACGGAGCGGCCGGCCGCAACACGCGGUUCGAGCUAGCGCUUUCCCUACAUCCUGCCGCGAACCGUGCUACCAUUAGUUUGGUGGCGCCGGGGAUCGGCUCGAUUACUUUGAGAAAAAUAGAGUGUUCAAAGCAGGCCACACGCCUUGAAUAAGUUAGCAUGGAAUAAUAACUAAGGACUUCGGUUCUAUUUUGUUGGUGUUCGGGACUGAAGUAAUGAUUGAUAGGGACAGUUGGGGCGGUCUGUAUUCCAAAGCGAGAGGUGAAAUUCUUAGACCUUCGGAAGACAAACAGCUGCGAAAGCGUUCCGCAAGGAUGUUCCCUUUGAUCAAGAACGAAAGUUGGGGGAUCGAAGACGAUCAGAUACCGUCGUAGUCUCAACUAUAAACUAUACCAGCUAGGGAUCGGCCAACGUUAUUCUAUACCGACUUGGUCGGCACCUUAUGAGAAAUCAAAGCAUCUGGGUUCCGGGGGGAGUAUGGUCGCAAGGCUGAAACUUAAAGGAAUUGACGGAAGGGCACCACCAGCCGUGGAGCCUGUGGCUUAAUUUGACUCAACACGGGAAAACUUACCAGGUCCAGACAUAGUAAGGAUUGACAGAUUGAUAGCUCUUUCUUGAUUCUGUGGGUGGUGGUGCAUGGCCGUUCUUAGUUGGUGGAGUGAUUUGUCUGGUUAAUUCCGUUAACGAACGAGACCCCAGCCUGCUAAAUAGCGCGCGUGAGCUUUGCUCGCGGCGAGCUUCUUAGAGGGACUCUGAUGCGCGAUAGCACAUGGAAGUUUGGGGCAAUAACAGGUCUGUGAUGCCCUUAGAUGUUCUGGGCCGCACACGGGCUACACUGGCGCCUGCAACGAGCAUAUCAGCUGGCCCGAGAGGGUCUUGGCUAAUCUUUUGAACCGGCGCCGUGCUUGGGAUUGACCUUUGCAAUUGUUGGUCAUGCAACGAGGAAUGCCUUGUAAACGCGAGCCAUCAGCUCGCAUUGAAUACGUCCCUGCCCUUUGUACACACCGCCCGUCGCUCCUACCGAUGAAUGUUCCGAUGAAAUUUUCGGAGAGCACCUGUGAACUUGGCUCUGCCUUGCGAACGGGAGGCUCAAAGUCACUUAAAUCUGAACAUUUCGAGG